Molecule: long non-coding RNA, 491 nt
Filed under: Homo sapiens (human)
Lineage: Eukaryota; Metazoa; Chordata; Mammalia; Primates; Hominidae
Description: HSALNT0302632
Source: RNAcentral
UCUCCUUUGGGCAACUGCUUAAAUUCAGAGGCAGCUACCAAAAGGAAACGUCUCUCUACCCCCUACUGUUUCUUCUGUGCAAAAGAAUGUAAAAUAUGAGGCUUCUCUUUCGCAUAGAAAACAGAAGAAAAGUUGCAACAGAGUGAAAAAUCAGGAAAACCUCAUCGAGAUAGAUAUUCUGCCAGAGACAAAACGAAACCUCAUCGAGAUAGAUAUUCUGCCAGAGAAAAAUGAGACAUCAGAUAUGUGUGAUCACAGGUCAUAGACUCAGUGAAGUGCCACUGUCACAAUGCUCUCAUGCCAAACCUUGACUGCAAAGCUGAGAUGUUAAUAUGGAACACCUGAGAGGGCUGGCACUUCAGCGUCCUUAUUCCUCCAGAACCACACCACAAAAGUCACCUUCUCCCCAGACAGAUUCUCUACAAAAUGCCUUGCAGCCGAGGUGUGGUGGAAAGAAUAUUGUAUUUGGAAUAAAAAAUUUUUGAUUUUGC